GUUUACAUAGUUUAAUAGUAAAACAUUACAUUUUCACUGUAAAAAUAAAACUACUUUUGUAAAUA
Molecule: transfer RNA, 65 nt
Filed under: Glyptotermes angustus
Lineage: Eukaryota; Metazoa; Arthropoda; Insecta; Blattodea; Kalotermitidae
Description: tRNA-Glu
Rfam family: tRNA
About the family: Transfer RNA (tRNA) molecules are approximately 80 nucleotides in length. Their secondary structure includes four short double-helical elements and three loops (D, anti-codon, and T loops).
Source: RNAcentral